AGAGAGACACCUGGCACAAAGGAUUUUUGCCAUUCCGUUUCAUUUUGGCCUUAUUUCUUCCUGUGGUCGUGAAGCAGCAAACAAAUCUCUCAUCCAAGAGGACUGCAUUUGGCAUAAGUAGAAGUGGCCCUCUAGUCUGUGAGGAGUUUAAGCACAAAUAAUCCAGACUUGAUUACUAUUCUCUUUAUUGAUCUGGAUGACUGUGUGUUCUCACGAAAACUAUUGGUGACUUGUCAGAGGCAUGGCUGAAGUGCCAAGGAGCAGCAAGAGGAAAAGAAACCACCCAAAAAAACAGUGAAUUCAACUCUCAAAGGUACUUUCAAGUUGUUCAGGCACCAGCACUUUGAUACCUCUACAAAAUCAUCUACCAAGGCUGGGAACAGAAAGAGAGAUGUUUCACAGGAAUGCUUUCACCUGAAUGCUGGUGAAACUUAUAACAUUCCUUAUCUGGUCUCUACUGAUUUUAAUUUUUCUUUCAUUCUGUAUAAGCAUUUGCCUGUUUGGAGCUUCUUCUGGUAGAUUCCUAAAUGUAAGUCAAGACUGCCUUUCUAGUUCUCACUCUUUCCUCUCUCUUUUAGAUACAUAUGUUAGAAAGGAUAUAAGGUUUUACUUCAGUAGAGGGCAUUUGUCUAUACUACAUUGGUAGUUUUGGGGAUGUUAGUUGGAUUUUGUGAAAAUGUGGAUUACUUUCUUAGUUUCCUUAAGGAAUGGUAGUGUUAGAAAUCAUUCCAUGAGAUUUGUCUUCUUUUUAAAUUAGAGGUAGACUCUUCAGUUGAAAUUAGAUAGAAGUCAGUAGAUAACUAUUAAUUCAGGAUAUUUGUGUGAUAAGCACACCAGGUUCAGGAGUUUUCCUGUUGUAUCCAUUAUUUAUUGCAUUUCCACCAAUCUCCAAACUGACCUGCAAUAGUAGGAAACAAACUCAGCUUUCCAGACUUCCCAAAAUUGCUUUUGCAUGUACAGACAAAGAGAUUAUCUGCAGCACUAUGAAGAAUCCCAAUAAUAUUUAUUAUAUUUUUCUGAGUUCCAAACAAGUUAAUUUGAUGUGUCUAGUCUAGCAAUUAAAAAAAAAAGGUUAAAAUAGCGCUUAUAAAUUUUGAAAUUGUUUCAUUUAAAAAAAAAAAAAUUCACAGUAGAAUCUUUCACAGUAGAUUCCCCAUUUAGCUGGAAUAGGACACAAACUGUCCAGAAGGGUGUGGGAAUAGAAAUUGUGAUGAAAACAGUAUUUUUUAAUUACUUCUGCAGAAAGAAAUUUUUUUUCCCUCACAUCUGCUUCAAUUAAAAUUUACUCACUUUUCUGCUAGACAAAGUGAAUCCAGCAGGAGGCAGGCCCUCUUUUCAGGGCCUGCUUCCAUGCACUUUAGGAAUUCACCCUCAUUUUCCUAUGAGCAUGAGCCAGCAUGUUACUUCUAGCUUAAAGAUCCUUUCUGCUGUGGUAAGUAUUUUCAAUAUUUUCAGGCCUUUUCCAACACUUUAUAAAUCACAAGAUUCACCAUACUUGGAUUCUAUUAAAUUGACAGUCUCUAUUUUGGCAUUUGUUCUUUGCGCAGUUCAUGUGUGACACAAUGAUCAUAAAAUGCCCUGCCUCUUGUUUUAAUUAGUUUUCUAAAACUUCCUACUUUUCUUUUCCUACAUGGUGUUGUCAGGAAGUCAUGAAGUUAUAUUUUAUAAUGUUGGUUUUAAAUUAUUAACUGAAAAUAAAAUGAACUAUUAGCAAAAUUUAAGACAGAAUUUUUGCUUUAACACGAUAAAACAAAAGAACAUAACGUGUAGUGCAUCUUCCCAAAGUACUUUUUGCAGAUGCUCCCUCUGCACUUCUAGCUUUAUUUUUAAAGAUGAAGCAAGUCUGUUACUGACUUCAAUUUUUUCAUGGAAUUAAUUGAAUUAAUAAAUUGAUAAUUUGACUUAAUCAGAUUUUUGAAGUGCCAAUGUGUCUUACACUGAAGAACUAAGCAAUGUGUGUCAGUGCAGAAAGGUGUUCACCAACAGUUAUUGUUUUUUUGGGGGAGCAAGGCAACAGGGGGUUGGCACAGCUGCAUUUAAUUUCAAUUUAAUGCUAGUUUGGUUCCUGAAUUAGUUACUGUAUUUUCAAUAUCCUGAAAGUACCAUAAACAAAUAAACUGCACAUCUUGAAAGAUACAUCUGUGUAAGAAAUAUAAAAUACUUAUCUUUUUCAAAACAGAAGCUAAUAUAUUUGGUUCUUUUAACUAGUUUGUUUUCAAUCCUUGCUCUCAGGUGUAACUGUCAAAGCUGAAAUAUCAUUCUGUUUAUUGGUGCUACUAAAACCAGUCCGUUCACAAGGUGAGGUUCUUAGUCACACAAACACCAGGAACAAUUAAAUUUCAAUUGCUAUCAAUCUAGUCACUGAAAAAUUCAUUUUUCGGCUAUUUUUCAGCUCACUGCUGGAAAGUCAGCAUGACUGAAUUAAAAGUGCUUGUAAUCUCGCAAUGAUGGAUGCUAUCUCUCCUGAUCUGGUCAUACUAUACUCAGCAGAGAUACAAUUGGGGUGCUUCAAGGGUAUUAGCAGAUUAAUGUUUAAAACUGAUGUAUUACAUAGCAAAUCUGCAAUAAUGAUUGUACUAAAAUACUACAGGGAAUCGUAGUUGCAGGUGAGGUGAUAAUUCUCCUAUUAUGAACACAUCAGCUGAGUAGUGUUUAUUUUUGUGUUACUAUGGGAUAGAAAGACAUCAUCUCUGAAGAGAAAGAGUUUCCUCUUAGUAGCUGUUAAUGCUCAGGUAUUUCAGAGCCUUAUCAUUUUAGA
This is a long non-coding RNA of Passer domesticus (house sparrow), 2758 nucleotides long. RefSeq lists it as uncharacterized. Lineage: Eukaryota; Metazoa; Chordata; Aves; Passeriformes; Passeridae. The record is from RefSeq and is a predicted model, not a curated record. The transcript has 3 exons.